Long non-coding RNA from Oreochromis aureus, 284 nucleotides. RefSeq lists it as uncharacterized. Lineage: Eukaryota; Metazoa; Chordata; Actinopteri; Cichliformes; Cichlidae. The record is from RefSeq and is a predicted model, not a curated record. The transcript has 3 exons.
AGGGGCAGAUCAAACCAAAGCCCUUCAUUCUUCAUUCAGUAUGGAGGAAAAACUCAUCAACGCAGUGGCUAAUCGUCCAGAACUAUACGAUGCUAGCUGCUACUUCUACCGGGACAGGAAUAAAAAGGACUGAGCUUGGAGGCACAGAAGUGAGGAGAUCGGGCAACCUGAACCAACUGAUUCUGCUGCAGAGCAUCCUCUGUUGCUUCUCCUGCCUCCCCAGUCCCUCCGCUCCUGCUGCUGCACCCACAGGCCCACAGAGGAGGACAGCUCCGAGACAGAUG